Molecule: long non-coding RNA, 173 nt
Organism: Bradysia coprophila
Lineage: Eukaryota; Metazoa; Arthropoda; Insecta; Diptera; Sciaridae
Source: RefSeq, a predicted model, not a curated record
AUUUGUUAGUGUGAAUAAAAACGCACAGCACAUGCAAUCGUACACGCAUACAUCUUUGAAAUUUGAAGGCUAUUUUGACGUUGAUAGAAUGGGUGUUCGAGCUAUUGCCAGUGCUAUGGUGCAGUAGUUUCUGAGAUAUCAGAGGUAUGCCCUUUAGUGAUGUUGCCAUCAAU